AGUGAACGCUGGCGGUAGGCCUAACACAUGCAAGUCGAACGGCAGCACAGUAAGAGCUUGCUCUUACGGGUGGCGAGUGGCGGACGGGUGAGGAAUACAUCGGAAUCUACUUUUUCGUGGGGGAUAACGUAGGGAAACUUACGCUAAUACCGCAUACGACCUACGGGUGAAAGCAGGGGAUCUUCGGACCUUGCGCGAUUGAAUGAGCCGAUGUCGGAUUAGCUAGUUGGCGGGGUAAAGGCCCACCAAGGCGACGAUCCGUAGCUGGUCUGAGAGGAUGAUCAGCCACACUGGAACUGAGAAACGGUCCAGACUCCUACGGGAGGCAGCAGUGGGGAAUAUUGGACAAUGGGGGAAAGCCUGAUACAGCAAUACCGCGUGGGUGAAGAAGGCCUUCGGGUUGUAAAGCCCUUUUGUUGGGAAAGAAAAGCAGCAGGUUAAUACCCCGCUGUUCUGACGGUACCCAAAGAAUAAGCACCGGCUAACUUCGUG
This 492-nucleotide ribosomal RNA is filed under the name uncultured bacterium. RNAcentral's name for it is "partial 16S ribosomal RNA". It matches the Rfam family "Bacterial small subunit ribosomal RNA", at positions 29 to 507 of the family's 1533-position model. The record is from RNAcentral.